AUUGAACGCUGGCGGCAUGCCUUACACAUGCAAGUCGAACGGCAGCACGGGUGCUUGCACCUGGUGGCGAGUGGCGAACGGGUGAGUAAUACAUCGGAACAUGUCCUGUAGUGGGGGAUAGCCCGGCGAAAGCCGGAUUAAUACCGCAUACGAUCCACGGAUGAAAGCGGGGGACCUUCGGGCCUCGCGCUAUAGGGUUGGCCGAUGGCUGAUUAGCUAGUUGGUGGGGUAAAGGCCUACCAAGGCGACGAUCAGUAGCUGGUCUGAGAGGACGACCAGCCACACUGGGACUGAGACACGGCCCAGACUCCUACGGGAGGCAGUAGUGGGGAAUUUUGGACAAUGGGCGAAAGCCUGAUCCAGCAAUGCCGCGUGUGUGAAGAAGGCCUUCGGGUUGUAAAGCACUUUUGUCCGGAAAGAAAUCCUUGGCUCUAAUACAGUCGGGGGAUGACGGUACCGGAAGAAUAAGCACCGGCUAACUACGUG
This 486-nucleotide ribosomal RNA is filed under the name uncultured bacterium. Its description in RNAcentral is "partial 16S ribosomal RNA". It matches the Rfam family "Bacterial small subunit ribosomal RNA", at positions 30 to 507 of the family's 1533-position model. The record is from RNAcentral.